Molecule: ribosomal RNA, 468 nt
Filed under: uncultured bacterium
Lineage: Bacteria
Description: partial 16S ribosomal RNA
Rfam family: Bacterial small subunit ribosomal RNA
Source: RNAcentral
GAUGAACGCUGGCGGCGUGCUUAACACAUGCAAGUCGAACGGUGAGGCCCAGCUUGCGGGGUGGGUUCGUGUGGAGCAGGGGAGUGAAACGUGAGUAUCCUGCCCUUUAGUCUGGGGGAAGCCUGGGGAACUGGGGGUAAUACAGGGUAGAGGCGUCCACCGCACGGGGGGGGGGGGGAAAAUUUUUAGCGGUUGGGGAUGGACUCGCGGUCUAUCAGCUUGUUGGAGGGGUAGUGGCUCACCAAGGCGGUGACGGGUAGCCGGCCUGAGAGGGUGACCGGCCACACUGGGACUGAGACACGGCCCAGACUCCUACGGGAGGCAGCAGUGGGGAAUAUUGCACAAUGGGCGGAAGCCUGAUGCAGCGACGCCGCGUGAGGGAUGACGGCCUUCGGGUUGUAAACCGCCUUCGGUUGGGAAGAAGCGAAAGUGACGGUAACUGCAGAAGAAGCACCGGCUAACUACGUG